RNAcentral lists this ribosomal RNA (279 nucleotides) under uncultured bacterium. RNAcentral describes it as "partial 16S ribosomal RNA". It matches the Rfam family "Bacterial small subunit ribosomal RNA", at positions 524 to 795 of the family's 1533-position model. The record is from RNAcentral.
UACGGAGGGGGCUAGCGUUGUUCGGAAUUACUGGGCGUAAAGCGCGCGUAGGCGGCUUUGUAAGUUAGAGGUGAAAGCCCAGGGCUCAACCCUGGAAUUGCCUUUAAGACUGCAUCGCUUGAACAUCGGAGAGGUAAGUGGAAUUCCGAGUGUAGAGGUGAAAUUCGUAGAUAUUCGGAAGGAACACCAGUGGCGAAAGCGGCUCACUGGCGUCGGUUCGUGACCGCCUGGAGGCGCGAAAGCGUGGAGGCAACAGGAUUGAGAAACCCAUAGGUAGUC